ACUACAAUUAUAAUAUUAUAUUAUAUUCAUUGCGAUGAUAAUUUUUUUUUUUUUUUUUUUUUUUUUUUUUUUUUUUUUUUUUUUUUUUUUUUUUUUUUUUAAUAAUGGUUAUUACAAAUCUUAAACCUCAGUUUAUAAUAAGAAUGUUCAGUACGUAUCUAUUGGACUGUACUCGUGCAUCGCUUGUUUUAUCAAUAUUUAAGGCAUAAUAUCUUUUGCUAUAUCGAUCUCUUCAUUUUACUGUACACUCUAUUCGUAAUGUUCUACAUAAUAAUAUAUUAUUUUAUUUGGAGUAUCUCUAUUAUCACUCUGUGGUCAAAACAUUAUUUAAUUAAUAUGAGUAUUUCAUAUUUCUUAUUAUUAUAAUUAAUAAUUAUUUAAAUUUUCCCCAAUUAAUUUUUUUACCUCGAUAAUUUUAUUAUAUAAAUCAAAGAUAUUUUUGACGUAUGAUUAUUAUCACAUUAUCAUUCUUUUACGUAUCAAUUGCAAUGUGCAGUAAAGUGUGAUCUGUCACAUUAGCCUACAUAUUAUGCUAAAUAUUUUGCCAGUUAUUUUGUCAAAUCUAAAAACAAAAAAAAAAUAUAUAUACAUAAUUAAUUUAGUAUAGGUACAUCCUUUAAUAUAUACAUACAUUCAUUAAUAUUUAUAAAUAUUUCUUUAUUAAUACUAUUUUGUGUAUAUAAUAUUUAAAUAAAACCAUUACAUUAAUAUUAUCUACCAUCAAAUGAAUUUUAUAUUUAGGUCCUGCAAAUUUAAACAUGUCUUCAUUUAUUUUUUUUCAUAGUUUAAAUAAAUAAAAAAUAUUAUAAUUAAUACAACUUGUUAACAAUUCACUCAAUUUGAAUUACAUUAUUAUAAUAGCUACUAGUUUUUAAUUAUUAAAAAAAAAUAUAUAUUAAAAAAAAAUUUAAAAAAAAAAAAAUAGAUUAUUGGACCAUUAUUUUGAAAAAUACAAUUUUUUUCCUCAUUUAUUUCUAUUAUAAACAUAACUAUUGCUUAUGCAGGAAUAAUUAACGCUCAUCAAUUAUAUAUUUUUUCCACAAUAAUUAUUUAUUUAAAUUUGUUAUCCAUUUCCAUUUUUAGUAGUUAUUCUAUCGCACGUGUUAUCAACAGUUUUUAAAAAAAUAGAAAAAAAAGGAUGUCAAUCACAAGUUUUUCCUAUCAUUAUAAUAUCACUAAUCUUUUAUUAUAAGACUGUUAAUUUAUUCGUACAAAGACUAUGAAUAAAAAGUAAAAUUUUAUUAAUAUUAUUAUUAUACUUAGCGGAAUAUAAAAAAAACCAAAACCCUCCCACUAUCAAAAAUGUAUGUAUAACUUUUUUUCUAUUGUGUGACCACGAAAAAUUCUUUUAUACAUAAUAUAAAUAAUUUAAGACAAAAAAAAUACCCUGUUAAUUCUUCUAUGUUUAUUUGUUUUCAGAAGUUAAAUAAAACUUUAUACAACUUAAUUCUAAGGUGAUUUACUUUUGUUGCCUUUUAGUACCUACUUCAACAUACCUAUACUAGUGGUUAAUAAUAUUAUAUAUACCGUAUGGUCCAUAAAUGUGUCAGAAGAAAUAUCUGAAGAAAAUAUAAUAAAUAUUAUGUAAUAGGUAUAACUUACACUGACUAUACUUCAAUAAUAUACCAACACUUAUAUGAGUUAUGUGGAAAAGUCAUAGUAUUUACUAGGUACUAUUAAUGGAAUCAUUUACAUUUACGAUAAACUCUGGAUAUUUUGUUUGUUAUCUAAUGUAAAUAAAUACUUUUAAACAUAUAAAUGUAUAUUGCACAUUAUAAAAUCUAAUAUUAAGUAUGUAUAAUGUAUUUUGUCCUGGAUCCAGGCAAUUUGUCCUGCAAAUCCAGUAGACAUUUUAACCUAGUACACUAGGUGACAAAAAUGUUGAGCAGUAAAAAUUUCUUAUCAGCUAAUAGAUUAAAUUUCUAUUAAUUAGACAACAACAAUUUUUUUUUUCAUUAUCAUACGUAAUUUAUUAUUAGAAGAAUAGCAAUAAAAAGAGUUUCUUGAAUAAUUACAGAAAUAUAUAGAUAUUAUUUGUCUACGAAAAAAACUUUUAUAUUCUGAGUGAAGAGAAGAAGCUUGGUCUUACAAAGAUAUUUAUAUUUUUUUUCUUGUUCUGUGAACAACUUUUCUACCAGUAAUUUUGCACCAACUUAUAAUGAUAACAAUUUUUUUUUUAAGGAAAUUGCACUGGGGAAGUAUUUUAGAGAGGUUAUUAUUCAAUUUUCUCAAGAUUUUUCUCAACAAAUAUGAAAAACCAAAAUAAAAAAGCAGAGCAAAAACGGGAUCCAUCUUAGUUUUAAAAUUGGAAUAAUUGUAAUUUUACCAUAAUAUAACAUAAAUAUUGUUGACAAAGCAGCACUAUCAACUGAACUCUGCUCAGAAUUGUUUUUUCGUUAGCAACGGUUUAUUGAUGCUUACAGGUGUACACUGUACAUUAAA
Cinara cedri is the source of this 2442-nucleotide non-coding RNA. Lineage: Eukaryota; Metazoa; Arthropoda; Insecta; Hemiptera; Aphididae. The record is from the annotation of a GenBank genome assembly.